AAGUCGUAACAAGGUUUCCGUAGGUGAACCUGCGGAAGGAUCAUUACUGAAAGAAACUAUUUUAGUUUUUUUUCAUCCAUCUCCCUUUGUUAAUUGAAUCCAUAUUUUUUCUUCCACCAGACAGUGUUCCCUUUUUUUUUUUUUUCUAAAAAGGAAACCCUCGGGCUUGAGUAGAUUUUUCCCUCUAUUCUUGUCAGGGAGUGCUGGUGGUAAGACUCCUCUUUCCAAAACUUUUGUUAUAAACAAAUUGUCUGACAAAAACUUUCUUAAAUGAAAUAAAACUUUCAACAACGGAUCUCUAGGCUCUU
Molecule: unclassified non-coding RNA, 308 nt
Filed under: fungal sp.
Lineage: Eukaryota; Fungi
Description: partial internal transcribed spacer region
Rfam family: Eukaryotic small subunit ribosomal RNA (bases 1-46)
Source: RNAcentral